UACGUAGGGUGCAAGCAUUAAUCGGAUUUAUUGGGCGUAAAGGGCGCGUAGGCGGGCAUGUAAGUCAGAUGUGAAAUCCCGGGGCUCAACCCCGGAACAGCAUUUGAAACUGCAUUUCUAGAGGGUAGGCGGAGAAAACGGAAUUCCACAAGUAGCGGUGAAAUGCGUAGAUAUGUGGAAGAACACCAGUGGCGAAGGCGGUUUUCUAGCUUAUACCUGACGCUGAUGCGCGAAAGCAAGGGGAGCAAACAGG
This 253-nucleotide ribosomal RNA is filed under the name uncultured bacterium. RNAcentral describes it as "partial 16S ribosomal RNA". It matches the Rfam family "Bacterial small subunit ribosomal RNA", at positions 524 to 776 of the family's 1533-position model. The record is from RNAcentral.